RNAcentral lists this transfer RNA (72 nucleotides) under Anaerolineae bacterium SM23_ 63. RNAcentral's name for it is "tRNA-Cys". It matches the Rfam family "tRNA". From Rfam's summary of the family: Transfer RNA (tRNA) molecules are approximately 80 nucleotides in length. Their secondary structure includes four short double-helical elements and three loops (D, anti-codon, and T loops). Further hydrogen bonds mediate the characteristic L-shaped molecular structure. tRNAs have two regions of fundamental functional importance: the anti-codon, which is responsible for specific mRNA codon recognition, and the 3' end, to which the tRNAs corresponding amino acid is attached (by aminoacyl-tRNA synthetases). tRNAs cope with the degeneracy of the genetic code in two manners: having more than one tRNA (with a specific anti-codon) for a particular amino acid; and 'wobble' base-pairing, i.e. permitting non-standard base-pairing at the 3rd anti-codon position. Lineage: Bacteria; Bacillati; Chloroflexota; Anaerolineae. The record is from RNAcentral. RNAcentral also lists the same sequence under 3 other names.
GGGGACGUAGCCAAGUGGUAAGGCAGGGGUCUGCAAAACCCUUAAGCGCGGGUUCGAUUCCCGCCGUCCCCU